This 254-nucleotide ribosomal RNA is filed under the name uncultured bacterium. RNAcentral's name for it is "partial 16S ribosomal RNA". It matches the Rfam family "Bacterial small subunit ribosomal RNA", at positions 524 to 776 of the family's 1533-position model. The record is from RNAcentral.
UACGGAGGGUGCAAGCGUUAUCCGGAAUCACUGGGUUUAAAGGGUGCGUAGGCGGUUCGUUAAGUCAGUUGUGAAAUUCCCCCGCUUAACGGGAGGGACUGCGAUUGAUACUGAUGAACUUGAAUCAGGUUGAGGUAGGCGGAAUGUGACAUGUAGCGGUGAAAUGCAUAGAUAUGUCAUAGAACACCGAUUGCGAAGGCAGCUUGCUGGACCUGUAUUGACGCUGAGGCACGAAAGCGUGGGGAGCAAACAGG